UGGUGGGAAAGCUGCUGACCAGCAAGGUCACAGGCUUCCUCCUCUCUGCAAGUAGUCUCAAGGCCGAAGACAGGCUGGUGGGAAAGCUCUGACCAGCAAGGCCAUAUGCUCCCCCGCCCCUACCUAAAACCCCAAAUAAAAACCCUUCCUCUUAGCUUUUCGGGGAGUUUGGGAUUUGAGCGUUAGCUGCCCUCUCUCCUUGCUCAGCGCUGUGCAAAAAUAAAGUUCUUACUUUCUUCCACCACACCCGGUGUCAGAGAUUGGCUUGCUGCGCAACGGCCCCCCGGUACAUAGUUGUAUAUUCUUCAUUGUGGGUUCUUCUAGUUGUGGCAUGUGGGACGCCGCCUCAGCGUGGUUUGAUGAGCAGUGCCGUGUCCGCGCCCAAGAUUUGAACCAACGGAACACUGGGCCGCCUGCAGCUGAGCGCGCGAACUUAACCGCUCGGCCACGGGGCCAGCCCCAAUUAAGAUUUCUUGACUGAGUGGAUGCCUUUGAAGUUCUGCUGCUUAAUUCGAAGGCAUGUGCGGAUAGCUUUCACGUUACCCAGAAGUCGGAAAACCCGUCAGCCGGCGGUUGAGAGCUUGGUGUGUGUGAGACAUGGUGGAAUGUGGAAAGGAGUAGCAAGCGCUGUUCUCCACUCUGCUGGAGGAAUGAGAGACCCCCUUUUUUUUUUUUCUUUUUUCAGAGAAGGAGAAUAGAAGAAAUAGUGCAGCUCUGGCAGAGCCCUAGCUGUGCGACGUUUGUCCUUUAACAAAAUUACUAGAUGGUUCUCUUGUUUGGGGCCAGUGCAGUAAUGGGAGUGGAAGUUUCAACUGUGAUUUGGAAGGUGGUGUGGGGAGUGGAUUGUAGGGGUUGGCAAAGGACUCACAAUGGGAUUCAAGGAGCUGCUCUAAUGAAGAGCCCAAACUCAAGGCUAGGGGUACAGUUGAACUCUGUGAGAAGAUAGUGUUACAACAGCUCAAGUGGGUUUUGAUAGGUCUUCCAGGCUUUCUUUUUUUUUUCUGUUUAAUAGAAAUGGAAUCUCCAUGUACCUAUCACCCAGGUUCAACAAUCAUUUUGCUAAUCCUACAUCGUCUGUUCACUCUACUUUUUUUCUGACUAUUUUAAAGAGAAUCCCAGACAUGCAAUAUAAUAUGACUGGUAAAUAAUUGAGAUUACAUCUCUAAGUGAUAAGGACACUUAAAAAUUUCACUCUAAGCCACACUGAUAUAAUCACACUUAAAAAUUGAUUACUUUUACAAUGUUUAGUACACAGUCUAUAUUCAAAUUUCCCUGAUUGUUUCAAAAAAGUUUUUUUCUUGGUUGGUUGAGAAGGACCUAAAUAAGGUUUCUAUGUUGCAUUUGACUGUUAGAUCUCUAAGUCCCUUUCCGUCUCUACCGGUCACUGCCUCCUCCCCUCCUUCAGGCCAUUUACUUGCUACCAAAUGAGAUCCUUUGGUAAAUUGUCCCACAUUCUAGAGUUGGCUGAUUGCUUUUUUGUGGUAUUGUUUAACUUCCUGUCCUAUUCAAAUUUUCUGUAAAAUGGUGGGUUGGCUGUACAGUGCUGAUUAGAUUCAGGUCUUUUUUUUUGGCGAGCAUAGUUGCUGCUGUGUAUGCCUCCUGUAUCACAUCUGAGGACUGUCAUGUCUGGUUAUCCCACCUUUGGUGAUGCUAACAUUAACCGAGGUUUGGGUUCAGUGGUUGUCAACCUGAUGCCUUCAUUAUCAAUCCCCAUCAAACUCUCACCUGAUGGCUUUAGCAGCCAUUGAUGUUACGGCUGGAUCCGUUACUAUAUGUAGUUGCAGAACAGUGACAUUCUCCCUCUGCCAUUCCUUCUGCAUUUACUCCCCGGAACUGUAUACAGGACAGCAUUGCCUCGGCACUUACUUGUUUACCCUGAGAUAAGGCCUAUUCAGGAAAGGCUGGGGAAGUGUUCGAGUCAUUCUUUUCUCAAGCUUUAGAGCGUGAAGUGGUGCCCAGACACCUCCAAAGGUGAUCAAGUAUCAUGAACUUAGGAUUUUUUUAUACUUGUUUCUUGCUGGAAAAUGGUAGGUAGAGAUCCUGAUGUUUGCUAGUGGCGCUUUCUGCUACUGCCUUAUUGCUGCUGGACUAUUCGAUAAGCAGAGUCAGGGAAUGCCUCCUUUUUUAUUUUAAAAGAGAAAAGGGGCUUUUACUUAAAUUCUUGGAUUUUAAUGUUUUUUUCUUAGCCUGAAAAUCUUGGUUUCUAUCAACAUUGACAUAGUAACCUAUUUGAUUUAUCUUUCAAAAUAACAAUACUAGUAUAAAUAGUAAGACCAAUGGUGCAGUUGAGUCCUUUGUGAUUCUAUUUUGUCCUUAGAAUACAUUUCAUAAGGAUAAACAAUAAAAACUCUGGUUUGAGUCAAAGAAAUAUUUUUAUUUGAUUAAGGCAUAAUUGAUUAAGGUACAGUUGAGUUAUUUUAGUUCAGGCUUUAAUUUUUAGGGAUGUGCUUUUUGAUUUAAUUUUAUUUUUUAAUUAUAUAGAAUAUUUACUUGACCUCAGAGUUGAACUAUAUGAGAAGAUGCAUUCACAGGGGCUGGCCCGGUGGCGCAGUGGUUAAGUUCGCACGUUCUGCUUCAGCGGCCCGGGGUUCACUGGUUCAGAUCCCGGGUGUGGACAUGGCACCGCUUGGCACACCAUGCUGUGGUAGGUGUCCCACAUAUAAAGUAGAGGAAGAUGGGCACAGAUGUUAGCUCAGGGUCAGCCUUCCUCAGCAAAAAGAGGAGGAUUAGCAGCAGUUAGCUAGGGCUAAUCUUCCUCAAAAAAAAGAAAAAAAAAAAAGAAGAUGCAUUCACAGAUUUGUCUGCAUUUCCAUAUCUUCCACUCUGUUCGUUUUUAUUCCUCUGUAGGUAAUCAUUUUUAUUAGGUGUUGGUUCCAUUGUUUCAUUUUGAAAAUUAUCCAUUUUCUUACCAAAAAAGAUAGCAUAUUGUAAAAACACUGUUUUUCAACUUUUUUUCACUGAAUAUAUUCUGGAGAUUAUUCCAUAUCGGUUGUGGAGGCAAUUCCUAAUCCUUUCACCGUUGCAGUUUCAGUAUAUGCAUGUUGGGGAGACACAGACCGACAGUCCGUAACAUUGCCCAAUUCUCUGAGGAGGUUGUACCAUUCUGCAUGCCCGUCAACAAUAGACAAGAUACAUAUAGGCUGUUUUUAUUAGUUUACCUACUCAGGGUCUAAUUAAAAGAUAACACUUGGCCCCAGGUUCUUUUUGGCUCAAAUUAUGCCUAACAUUAAAAUAUAAUUAGGGGCCGGCCUGGUGGCACAGCGGUUAAGUGCACGCGUUCCACUUCAGUGGCCCAGGGUUCGCUGGUUCCGAUCCUUGGUGCAGACAUGGCACCGCUUGGCAAGCCAUGCUGCGGUAAGCGUCCCACGUAUAAAGUAGAGGAAGAUGGGCACAGAUGUUAGCUCAGGGCGAGUCUUCCUCAGCAAAAAGAGGAGGAUUGGCAGUAGUUAGCUCAGGGCUAAUCUUCC
This 3467-nucleotide long non-coding RNA is filed under the name Equus caballus (horse). RNAcentral's name for it is "lncRNA (ENSECAG00000044469.1)". The record is from RNAcentral. Lineage: Eukaryota; Metazoa; Chordata; Mammalia; Perissodactyla; Equidae.